RNAcentral lists this ribosomal RNA (1526 nucleotides) under uncultured organism. Its description in RNAcentral is "bacterial SSU rRNA". It matches the Rfam family "Bacterial small subunit ribosomal RNA". The record is from RNAcentral.
AGAGUUUGAUCCUGGCUCAGAUCGAACGCUGGCGGCGUGGCUAAAACAUGCAAGUCGCACGGAAAGGCUUUUUCGGAUCCUUCGGGUGAAGAAAAAGUACUCGAGUGGCGGAAGGGCGAGUAAUGUAUGGAUAACGUACCCCAGGCACCGGGAUAGCAGCGGGAAACUGUUGGUAAUACCGGAUGAUGUUCCAAACCCCUUGGGGCUUGGAAUCAAAGGAUGGCCUCUACUUGUAAGCUAUCGGCGUGGGAGCGGUCCAUAUCCUAUCAGCUAGUUGGCGGGGUAACGGCCCACCAAGGCAACGACGGGUAGCGGGACUGAGAGGUUGACCCGCCGCAUUGGGACUGAGACACUGCCCAGACUCCUACGGGAGGCUGCAGUAACGAAUAUUGGACAAUGAGCGAAAGCUUGAUCCAGCGACGCCGCGUGCAGGAAGAAGUCCUUCGGGAUGUAAACUGCUGUCAGGGACCACCAAGCAAGGAAGGUUAAUACCCUUCUGCGUUGAGGACUCCCAGAGGAAGCCACGGCUAACUUCGUGCCAGCAGCCGCGGUAAUACGAAGGUGGCGAGCGUUGUUCGGAGUCACUGGGCUUAAAGCGUGUGUAGGCGGACUGUCAAGCGUUUUGUGAAAGCCCUCGGCUUAACCGGGGAAUUGCUUGACGAACUGAUAGUCUUGAGGCAGGUAGGGGCAACUGGAACUCUUGGUGGAGCGGUGGAAUGCGUAGAUAUCAAGAGGAACGCCAGAGGCGAAGGCGAGUUGCUGGGCCUGUCCUGACGCUGAGACACGAAAGCCAGGGGAGCGAACGGGAUUAGAUACCCCGGUAGUCCUGGCCCUAAACGAUGUCCACUAGAUCGGAGGCACUCUGACGUGUUUCUGGUCGAAAUGAAAACGGUAAGUGGACCGCCUGGGGAGUACGGUCGCAAGGCUAAAACUCAAAGGAAUUGACGGGGGCUCACACAAGCGGUGGAGCAUGUUGCUUAAUUCGAUGCAACGCGAAGAACCUUAUCCUAGGCUUGACAUAUACGAAUGCCUACUGGGAAACCAGGUCGGCUGCCCUUCGGGGUGAAACGUAUACAGGUGCUGCAUGGCUGUCGUCAGCUCGUGUCGUGAGAUGUUGGGUUAAGUCCCGUAACGAGCGAAACCCUUGUCGUUAGUUGCCAGCGCGUAAUGGCGGGGACUCUAACGAGACUGCCGGUGUUAAACCGGAGGAAGGUGGGGAUGGCGUCAAGUCCUCAUGGCCUUUAUGCCUAGGGCUGCAAACGUGCUACAAUGGCCGGUACAAAACGAAGCGAGACCGCGAGGUGGAGCAAAUCGUAAAAAACCGGCCCCAGUUCGGAUUGGAGUCUGCAACUCGACUCCAUGAAGUUGGAAUCGCUAGUAAUCGCGUAUCAGCGUGACGCGGUGAAUGUGUUCCUGAGCCUUGUACACACCGCCCGUCAAGUCAUGGAAGCCGGGAGCACCCGAAGUCGGGGCAUUUCAGCCCUGCCGAAGGUGAGUUCGGUAACUGGGACUAAGUCGUAACAAGG